AUGAACGCUGGCGGCGUGCCUAAUCCAUGCACGUCGAGCGAACAGACGAGGAGCUUGCUCCUCUGACGUUAGCGGCGGACGGGUGAGUAACACGUGGAUAACCUACCUAUAAGACUGGGAUAACUUCGGGAAACCGGAGCUAAUACCGGAUAAUAUAUUGAACCGCAUGGUUCAAUAGUGAAAGACGGUUUUGCUGUCACUUAUAGAUGGAUCCGCGCCGCAUUAGCUAGUUGGUAAGGUAACGGCUUACCAAGGCAACGAUGCGUAGCCGACCUGAGAGGGUGAUCGGCCACACUGGAACUUAGACACGGUCCAGACUCCUACGGGAGGCAGCAGUAGGGAAUCUUCCGCAAUGGGCGAAAGCCUGACGGAGCAACGCCGCGUGAGUGAUGAAGGUCUUCGGAUCGUAAAACUCUGUUAUUAGGGAAGAACAAAUGUGUAAGUAACUAUGCACGUCUUGACGGUACCUAAUCAGAAAGCCACGGCUAACUACGUG
Molecule: ribosomal RNA, 496 nt
Filed under: uncultured bacterium
Lineage: Bacteria
Description: partial 16S ribosomal RNA
Rfam family: Bacterial small subunit ribosomal RNA
Source: RNAcentral